UCUCUCUCUCUCUCUUUUGUCUCCAUCGUCGUUGGUACAGGAGCACCAUCGGUAUCAACACCCGUCGCACAUGAGGACCAUCGCAAACCAACAGCCUAUAUCAUCUUAUCUUGUAGUCACGAUCCAUCAUUGGGGCACUAGCCAAGCAUUUCAGGCUCUUCAGUUAUGGACGGCUCCUCUGUAGUGCAGCAAAGCUCUAAUCAAGACCCAAGCUUCCAACGGGUGCCACAAAGUCAGCAGCAGCAAAGGGCUUCCAAUGCUACAUCGUUGCCCACGUCAAGAAUGGGCCAAGUUUCACUUCCCCCUGGCCCACAUGUCCCUGGCUCUUUCAUACAGGAUCCUAAUAAUAUAGCCCAGCUGCAGAAAAAACCUCGAUUGGAUAUCAAGCAGGAAGACAUUAUGCAACAGUAGGUUCUGUGACAACUACUGCAGCGACAGGAAUCCAUGUAAUUACAAACCCGCAAUCCUCAGUUGCAAGCUUUAAUUCAGCAGCAGAGAAUGGGACAACAGCAGCAACAGUUUCUGCAGUCUAUACCACCAGUGCAGCGAGCCUACAUACUACAACAAUAGCAACAGCAGCAAUAGCAGCUGCAGUUGAGACAACAACUUCAACAAUAGGGUAUGCAACCUAUGUCUUCCAUAAAACGACCCAAUGAUAAUGGUGUAGUUCUCGUCGACUAAUGCAAUAAUUAUAUCAUCGGCGGCAAC
This is a non-coding RNA of Camellia sinensis, 708 nucleotides long. Lineage: Eukaryota; Viridiplantae; Streptophyta; Magnoliopsida; Ericales; Theaceae. The record is from RefSeq and is a predicted model, not a curated record.